This is a long non-coding RNA of Vigna unguiculata (cowpea), 454 nucleotides long. RefSeq lists it as uncharacterized. The record is from RefSeq and is a predicted model, not a curated record. Lineage: Eukaryota; Viridiplantae; Streptophyta; Magnoliopsida; Fabales; Fabaceae.
AAACGGCAGAGGUCACUUUUUGGGUGGGAGAGGCCCAGGUUCAGUUUCUACCAGUCGCCAAGAUGUUCAGGAAAUAUACGCAACCAAGCAUUGAAUGCAAAAGUGAUGACAGGGACGUUUAUUUGCAAGUUUCACAUCAAGAAACGUAAUAUUUACAAACACCAUGAAAACGAUUCAAUGAGUGAAACAUGGUAACAAGAAAUUCCCCUCUCGUUUGAUCAACCUGCAACAUGCCUUUGAAACAUAGGAUCCCCGAAUUUUUCCAUCCAGACGAAGUCAUCGUAGAGAGAGUGGUACACUGGGUAUCCUGCAAUAUCUGAAUGAAAAGCGAGUUACAAUGAACACUUGGUACAAUGAAGGCUCCUAACUAAGCUUUGGUGAUACCUCCUGUGUUGCUUUUUUUAUCAAUUCAUCAAGCUGCGGAGUUGCACGGACAUUGAACCCCGGUCCACCA